RNAcentral lists this ribosomal RNA (938 nucleotides) under uncultured bacterium. RNAcentral describes it as "bacterial SSU rRNA". It matches the Rfam family "Bacterial small subunit ribosomal RNA", at positions 26 to 918 of the family's 1533-position model. The record is from RNAcentral.
AGGAUGAACGCCGGCGGUGUGCCUAAUACAUGCAAGUCGAGCGCACUGGCCCAACUGAUAUGACGUGCUUGCACUGAAUUGACGUUGGAUUCCCAGUGAGCGGCGGACGGGUGAGUAACACGUGGGCAACCUGCCCUGAAGCGGGGGAUAACAUCUGGAAACAGGUGCUAAUACCGCAUAACAACGAAAACCACAUGGUUUUCGUUUCAAAGAUGGUUUCGGCUAUCACUUCAGGAUGGGCCCGCGGUGCAUUAGCUAGUUGGUAAGGUAACGGCUUACCAAGGCGAUGAUGCAUAGCCGAGUUGAGAGACUGAUCGGCCACAAUGGAACUGAGACACGGUCCAUACUCCUACGGGAGGCAGCAGUAGGGAAUCUUCCACAAUGGGCGCAAGCCUGAUGGAGCAACACCGCGUGAGUGAAGAAGGGUUUCGGCUCGUAAAGCUCUGUUGUUGGAGAAGAACGUGCGUGAGAGUAACUGUUCACGCAGUGACGGUAUCCAACCAGAAAGUCACGGCUAACUACGUGCCAGCAGCCGCGGUAAUACGUAGGUGGCAAGCGUUGUCCGGAUUUAUUGGGCGUAAAGCGAGUGCAGGCGGCUCGAUAAGUCUGAUGUGAAAGCCUUCGGCUCAACCGGAGAAUUGCAUCAGAAACUGUCGAGCUUGAGUACAGAAGAGGAGAGUGGAACUCCAUGUGUAGCGGUGAAAUGCGUAGAUAUAUAGAAGAACACCGGUGGCGAAGGCGGCUCUCUGGUCUGUUACUGACGCUGAGGCUCGAAAGCAUGGGUAGCGAACAGGAUUAGAUACCCUGGUAGUCCAUGCCGUAAACGAUGAGUGCUAAGUGUUGGGAGGUUUCCGCCUCUCAGUGCUGCAGCUAACGCAUUAAGCACUCCGCCUGGGGAGUACGACCGCAAGGGUUGAAACUCAAAGGAAUUGACGGGG